RNAcentral lists this unclassified non-coding RNA (377 nucleotides) under uncultured bacterium. Its description in RNAcentral is "contains 16S-23S intergenic spacer region". The record is from RNAcentral.
UCCGGCUUAUCACCGGCAGUCCCACUAGAGUGCCCAACUAAAUGCUGGCAACUAAUGGCGAGGGUUGCGCUCGUUGCGGGACUUAACCAAACAUCUCACGACACGAGCUGACGACGGCCAUGCAAGAUCUGUCACCGAGUUCAAUAAAGCACUCACUCCUUUCGGAGUAAUUCUCGGGAUGUCAAGCCCUGGUAAGGUUCUUCGUUUAACAUCGAAUUAAAGAACACGAUCCACCGCUUGUGCGGGUCCCCGUCAAUUCCUUUAUGUUUUAGUCUUGCGACCGUACUCCACAGGCGGGAUACUUAACGCGUUAGCUUCGCCACGGAGGGGGUCGAUACCCCCCACGGCUAGUAUCCAUCGUUUACGGCGUGGACUAC